This 253-nucleotide ribosomal RNA is filed under the name uncultured bacterium. Its description in RNAcentral is "partial 16S ribosomal RNA". It matches the Rfam family "Bacterial small subunit ribosomal RNA", at positions 524 to 776 of the family's 1533-position model. The record is from RNAcentral.
UACGAAGGGGGCUAGCGUUGUUCGGAAUUACUGGGCGUAAAGCGUGCGCAGGCGGCUGCUCAAGUCAGGGGUGAAAGCCCAGAGCUCAACUCUGGAACUGCCUUUGAGACUGAGUGGCUUGAGUACGGGAGAGGUGUGUGGAAUUCCCAGUGUAGAGGUGAAAUUCGUAGAUAUUGGGAAGAACACCGGUGGCGAAGGCGGCUCACUGGCCCGUAACUGACGCUGAGGAGCGAAAGCGUGGGGAGCAAACAGG